This is a long non-coding RNA of Mus musculus (house mouse), 5597 nucleotides long. RefSeq annotates it as predicted gene, 45999. The record is from RefSeq and is a predicted model, not a curated record. The transcript has 2 exons. Lineage: Eukaryota; Metazoa; Chordata; Mammalia; Rodentia; Muridae.
CUGUUCAUGUCCAUGUCUCUUCUCCUUUUCCCAUGUUAGUCCUGAUAGAAAGAAUAGAGUUGGGGGAAACAUGGAGACCUUAUUGCAAUAUUAGAGGCUGUGUUGAAUCUUAGGGUUCUUUUGGAAGAGACUUGGGCAUGUCUUAUGAUAGAUUCCAAGCUAGUAACAACCCAUCGAAGGGUGCUUUUUAAGAAAUGUUAUUAAUUAAUUAUAUUUGUUUAAAUUGUGUGUGGAUACACUCAGGUCACUGCAGUUGCUUGUGGAGGCCAGAAGAGAACAUCAGAUGCCCUGGAGCUGGUUUUAUAGGUUGAGAACUGCAGCAGCAAGGGCAUUUGAAGUGUUUCUGCGGAGAUGGCUUAUGGCUUCUGAACGACCCACGUGGGAUCACUGGCCCAUGGUCCUUGACACUCGGUAGUGAACAGGAUUUGCCUGAGUCAGAUAAAUAACUGCAGACUAGGGGCUUCUCUGUGUGGAAGGGUCUGAGAUGGAUUAACUACAGGAGGAUCCGGAAGAAUGAUGGUGACUGGAGUCCUGGAGGCUGCCCUGCCCAGCUGCCUUUGUCUUCCUACCCCAAGCUCACUCCUCUGUGGGUACAGUGCUCGGGCAGGCUCUCAUAAAGCCUGGGAGCUGGGAGCUGGGAGCUGUCACUUUGCAAGCUGCAUUCAGUGGGCAAAGAUUCUGAGUGAUGUUGUGUCUCUUGCUUGUUUAACAGUUAUGGAUCCCAGAAUUGUUCUUUAAAUUCCCCUAAACCUAAGAUUCCUGUCUAUUAAUGAGAGGAAAUGAUAACCUCAGAAGGUAAAAAGCCCCUCUGUACCUCUCUGCAAGCAUAUCUUCAGUUUCUCUCUUCCUCCUCCUCCUCUUCCUCCUCUUCCCCCUCCUCCUCCUCUUCCUCCUUCUCCUCCUAGUCCUCCUUCUCCCUCCCUCUUUCCUUUCCCCCAUCUCUCAGCAUUUAGAUAGCUGUUCUCCUGGACUUGGACAAGCCUUUGAUGUUCUUUUGAGUUAUGUAAAGACAAUUCCCAACUCCUAUUUUCAAAAGCAGAGGUCAAGAUGACAGAAAGGUUUCCUGUUCUGCCCAGGGAACGAAUGACUGUCUUAGUUAGGUUUCUAUUUCUAUGAUGAAACACCAUGACCAAUAGCAACUUGGGGAGUAAAGGGUUUCUGUCAGUUUACAGCUUUUAGGUCACACUCCAUCGCUGAGGGAGAAGCUUGUUUCUUCCCAACAGCUUGUCAGGACAAGAGAUUGCGUCUCCCUUUUUUGUGUGUCAAGAUGAAGGAUGCUCCUGAAAGGAGGGAGGGCAUAGUUUUUCUAUAAAGUACAGGAGGCAGAUGUGAGUUCAGACACAAACCUGCUCGUGGUUGAUGUGUGACUGCAACACAACAGCCCUAGGCCCUCAAGGUUAUCUAAUCCCUCUGAGUCUCAGCAUACCCAUCUGCGAAAUGGAGGUGAUGAUAUGAGUGUCAUGGUUUCAUUAUUUUAUUUUAUUUUAUUUUUUUGAGAUGAGGAACCUUGGAUUUGAUAAUGUGGCCAAGCAUGGUCCUAAAUAUCUGAUACAACUGUCUACUUCUCUAGUGCUAGCCUUACACACAGAAGUCACCAAGCCCAGUUUAUAUGGUGAUAAAGAUAGCACUGGGCUUCCUGCAUGCUGGAUGAGCAGUUGUACAAAGAGCUUUGUCCCCAUGUCCUUGACUGCAGUUUGGAUGUGUGCAGUCCCCAGCUGUGAGAGUUAAGCUAACUGGUGUCAUUCGCUUUGUAUGCUUCCGGUGGCACUUCAGGCACUCCCACUGCUUUAUCUUUGGGGUAAAAAGCCUCACUAGAUAUUCUGACAGUGAGUAGACAUGGUCUGUGUGGGGAAUGAACAGUGGCUCUGAGCACAGCCAACUUUUCAGAGAGAAUGAAGAAUUAGAAAGAAAGAUGUGCCUGGUGAUAUAUGGUCCAGUUGAGUGUUUAAGCGGUUCAUGUCACACAUGGGACUCCAUCUCCUUCAAAAUACUGGUGCCUGUAGCUCUGGCAACCCCCAGCUUUUCCUUAAUGCCUGGAGAGAGUGAGAGCUUCUGAUGAUUCCACUAUGGCCCCCAUCAUGAAACAGCAGCUCCAGGUGCUGAGCCCUUGGCUACAGGAGACCGGGCUCUGGUGUCGCUCUCUCUUAUUGAAUGUAAGCUGAGGCUAAAGGUCAAGGUGAUUUUCUCUCUUUUAUAACAUCAUAAAAAGGCAUCUCAUUCUUCAGACACUUCUUAGGGCUCAUGUCCAGGUCACGAUUAGCAGGUAAUCUCAUAGGCCUGUGAUCCAUCAAGGCCUGUAGCCUGUCUGCCGAAAUCCACUGAAGGGGAGAGACUGGUUCUGUCCCAAGGACGCUUCACUGUCGUGGCAUUAAAAUGAACUGGCUUCCUUUAAGCCUAUUCUUGCCUAUCUGGAGUUGAUGCCCAUAGCCUUUUGGCCUCUUGCUGGUGUGGCUCUCUGGUCACCAUUUGCCUUUUCAAAGAGAAUGCUGUCCUUAAUCACUUAGGCUUGCCUGGGGUCGCACCACAAAAAUGAGUGUCAGGAGAGAAGUGGAAUCUAGAUUUUUCUAGUAUACACCCAGUGCGAAGACCAUCUCGGAUUUAUUUCUGGACAUUUUCUAUAAAAUACUCUCUGAGUGAGGUCCGAGGUUCCCUGGAAGCUGGCCAUGGGGCCACAUUGAGAAAUAAUCAGACUGUCCCUUCUGUUCGUCCAGCUCAACCCAGACAUCCAAGAGGAGACAAGUAAGACAAGUAAGAAAGUGGCAGAAAGCAGCUCCUCUUGUGAGCCUGACCUUCCCUGAUACUCCUUGACCCUCCCUGACCCUUCCUGAUAAUCCCUGACCAUCCUUGACCCUCCUUGAUACUCCUUCACCCUCUCCACCCCUCCCUGACCUUCUCAAACCCUCCAUCACCCUCUCUGACUCUCCCUAAACUCCCCUGAUACUCCCUGACCCUCCCUGGCCAUCUCUCACCCUCCCUGACCCUCUUUGACACUUCCUGACCCUCUCUGAUACUCCCUGACCCUCCACUGACCUUCCUUGAUGCCCCCUAACCCUCCUUGUCCUUCUCUGGCCUCUGAACACAUGGAGCCCUUGUGUCCUGCUUCCACAGUAUCCCAUGGUAUCCACAAAGGCCACUCCGCUUCUAGCCUUGGGAGAGCCAAGUAGAAGAAGGCGCAGAAGGCUGGCAGUGUGGCAGACUGCAUCUCCAGUCCUGAUAUGCCUCUUCCAGAAUGUGCAGUAUUUGGUGAUACAAGCUCAUCUGUCUGCACUGUGCUUUUAAAAAGAAAUAAGAAUUGCUGAUGUUUAACUGUUAUGAGCCGUAAGAGGAGUUGGUUCUUUAUAGAUCUACCUAGCUCAGAGUCUGGUUCAUGGCAGUUACUCAUGUAGUGAUCACAUUAUCACUAUUAUUUCCAUGAAAUUAGACAGAUCUAAGUCUAUCUGAGACUCAGGUGCAUUCUCUAAACCAGUGCCUCGUGGGAUUCUCUGGUCAAUAUUUGUUUCCUUCCUUCUGUGAGGCAAAUACAACACAAACUUUUGAAAGGGUCAAGGGGGAGAGAGAAAGUCAGAGACAGACAGACAGACAGACAGACAGACAGACAGACAGAGAGAGAGAACUGAAGGUGAAGGAUGAAGUUCAGGUAUUUGCACCAUGAGCUUCACGUGUCUCUACCUAUGAGAGAACGUUGACAUUUGUAUUCCUCUGUCCCCUCCACCUCCCUCUCUCCCUCCUCCCCCUCUGGUUCUUUCUUAAGACAAAGCCAAACUACUUCAGUACAUUUCUGGAAAAUAUGCUCUAUAAAAGCAAUUAACAAAAUAGAAAAAUAUUGAAAGAUAAACAUAGUGAAAUAAGAAACAACCCUUACGGAGAACAGGCACAUGAUCCUGUGAUUUUCGCAUACGCAUAGACAGAGAAAUAUGGACCCUAAAAACACUUUAAUAAAAUGAGCUCAUAAUUCCAAAUACUAUUUUAAAACAUGAAAGCACCACUUUCAAUUUCAUUGGAAUUUAACAGAAGAAAAUACAGUCAAAUAAGACUACAGAAGUUAUUGAGGAAAUACGGUUUUUUACAGUAGGAUAGUAUUUUGUGAAAACAUUUCUAAGGUUAAUCAGAAGAGGCCAUCAUCAUUUAUUUUAAAAAAGAGAUGAUUCAGUUGUUCACAGGCCAGCAUUAUCUUCUCAUAGAAGACAGAUUCUCGCACCAGAUUCUUCAAUGAAGAACCUCUUGUCACGCUAUCAUAUGUCAUCUGAACAUUCUGGAAACUGUUCAGUAGUAAUGCCCAUUUUGCUGAUUGGUAAAGUGAUUAUCAGAGGCAUCCAAUGACUUCAAUAGGGUCACAAGCACAGGGUGGGAAAAGAAGAGUGGAAAGCCACGUUUGUUGGAACUCAGGGAACAGGGCCAUGCCCACAUUCAGGUGUGACAGUCAGGUUUGUGCUGCAGAGGAUGAAGAUAUGAGUCCUCUAUGAUCUCCUCUUGUUUCCCUUCCUAGACAACUAGAGAACCCCCCACCCCCCACCCAGGCACUUUCCUACAAACUCCUGGGUUACCUUACUAGUGUUACAUCACUCAGACCGAUGGCUCUGUGUAAGGUAGUUCUAUUUACGCAUCUAUUCCAUUCCCUGGCUACUUUCUCUCUAGGGGGCAGAAGUGGUGUAUUGGUUACUGAAAACAAAAUUACUGACAAAAAAAUUAUGGAAGAAUGAGUUUCAGGGGAUUGUGCCCAUCAUGGAAGGAAGGUGCAGCUUCUAGAGUGCAGGGUGGCUGGUCACACAGAGUGUGGCGUCUGCUGUCAGGAAGAAGAGGGAGAUGAGGUCUUGUCUUAGCUUACUUUCAUCUUACUUGGUUUGUGACCCCAGCCCAUGGGAUGGUGCUACCCACAUUCAGGGCGGGCCUUCCCUCCCUUGUUAAUCCCCUCUGAAAACCCUCUUAUAGACAUGACCAGGACUGUGUGUCUCUCUGGUGACUUCAAAUCCAGUCAAGUUGACAAUGAGGAUGAAAGCAGCAGAGUUGUGGGGGAUAAAAACCAACAUCAAGGGAGACAGACAACCAUAUGUUAUCUCAUGAGCGGGGCACAGCAGAUAAGGGUGCUUCGGGUGGAAUUUUGCCAAGUUCACAAACAGAGGAGCUUCACUGAGAGCUAUUGCUUACUGUUAGUCUAAGUAUCAGCCUUGCCUCCAUUAAUGGGAUUUUAUUCCUAAAUCAUUUUCUUCCUUCUCUUUUUCAGUUGACUGAACACCACAAUCACAGAGUUUUGUUCAAGAAGGGCUUGUGCGUAUUGUAUCACUGGUUUCAUUAAGUUUAAGAGAGUGUUGUUUUUAUAUAACAUUACCACAUGCCAUCCUUUACCCUGUUCACUUUCUUUCUCUAAGCACGUUGUGAAUAUUGCUUUUUUGGCUUCGUGCACUGCCCGGAGAGUGCUGCUGAGAUGAGCCAGGAUUCAACACCUUUGAUGCCUGCUCUCCCUGCCUGUCUGAAUGCCUGAAGUAUCAUCAUUUAGCCAGCCAGUAUCUUGAGGGGUUUGCAUCUUCCCAAAAUAUGGAAUAUCUUUUAGCUUUCAUAUUCCAUUUUAAAAUUUAGAUAAUUAAAGAAUUAUACUUUUG